This 254-nucleotide ribosomal RNA is filed under the name uncultured bacterium. RNAcentral describes it as "partial 16S ribosomal RNA". It matches the Rfam family "Bacterial small subunit ribosomal RNA", at positions 524 to 776 of the family's 1533-position model. The record is from RNAcentral.
UACGUAGGGGGCGAGCGUUGUCCGGAUUUAUUGGGCGUAAAGAGCUCGUAGGCGGUUGGGUAAGUCGGGUGUGAAAACUCCAGGCUCAACUUGGAGAUGCCACCCGAUACUGCUCUGACUUGAGUUCGGUAGGGGAGUGGGGAAUUCCUGGUGUAGCGGUGAAAUGCGCAGAUAUCAGGAGGAACACCGGUGGCGAAGGCGCCACUCUGGGCCGAAACUGACGCUGAGGAGCGAAAGCGUGGGUAGCAAACAGG